RNAcentral lists this ribosomal RNA (276 nucleotides) under Bletilla guizhouensis. RNAcentral's name for it is "5.8S ribosomal RNA". The stretch from base 118 to 273 matches the Rfam family "5.8S ribosomal RNA". From Rfam's summary of the family: 5.8S ribosomal RNA (5.8S rRNA) is a component of the large subunit of the eukaryotic ribosome. It is transcribed by RNA polymerase I as part of the 45S precursor that also contains 18S and 28S rRNA. Functionally, it is thought that 5.8S rRNA may be involved in ribosome translocation. Lineage: Eukaryota; Viridiplantae; Streptophyta; Magnoliopsida; Asparagales; Orchidaceae. The record is from RNAcentral.
AAGGAUGGAUGAAAACUCAAACCGGCGCAGCUCCGCGCCAAGGGAGUGUAGAGACGCGAGCCCUGCAACGGGUUCAGUGGCGUGGGGUGCUGCCGCACACCAUGUGGAUUAUAACACGACUCUCGGCAAUGGAUAUCUCGGCUCUCGCAUCGAUGAAGAGCGCAGCGAAAUGCGAUACGUGGUGCGAAUUGCAGAAUCCCGCGAACCAUCGAGUCUUUGAACGCAAGUUGCGCCCGAGGCCAACCGGCCGAGGGCACGUCCGCCUGGGCGUCAAGC